RNAcentral lists this ribosomal RNA (922 nucleotides) under uncultured bacterium. RNAcentral describes it as "bacterial SSU rRNA". It matches the Rfam family "Bacterial small subunit ribosomal RNA", at positions 8 to 935 of the family's 1533-position model. The record is from RNAcentral.
AGAGUUUGAUCCUGGCUCAGGAUGAACGCUGGCGGCGUGCCUAACACAUGUAAGUCGAGCGAACAAAGCGAUGUAAAGCCUUCGGGUGGAUCAUCGCGGCGUGAGCGGCGGACGGGUGAGUAAUACGUGGGUAACCUCCCCUGUACACUGGGAUAACGCACCGAAAGGUGUGCUAAUAGCGGAUAAAGUGAACCUUUCGCAUGGAAGGAUCACCAAAGCUCCGGCGGUACAGGAUGGACCCGCGUCCCAUCAGCUAGUUGGUGGGGUAACGGCUCACCAAGGCGACGAUGGGUAGCCGACCUGAGAGGGUGAUCGGCCACACUGCAACUGAGAUACGGUCCAGUACACCUACGGGUGGCAGCAGUGGGAAAUAUUGCACAAUGGGCGAAAGCCUGAUGCAGCGACGCCGCGUGGAGGAUGAAGGCCUUCGGGUCGUAAAGCUCUGUCCUAAGGGAAGAUAAUGACGGUACCUUAGGAGGAAGCCCCGGCUAACUACGUGCCAGCAGCCUCGGUAAUACGUAGGGGGCAAGCGUUUUCCGGAAUCACUGGGCGUAAAGGUUGCGUAGGCGGCUGAUAAAGUCCGAGGUGAAAGGCUACGGCUUAACCGUAGUAAGCAUUGGAAUACUAUUAGGUUGAGUACAGGAGAGGAAAGUGGAAUUCCUAGUGUAGCGGUGAAAUGCGUAGAUAUUAGGUGGAACACCAGUGGCGAAGGCGACUUUCUGGACUGUUACUGACGCUGAGGCACAAAAGCUAGGGGAGCAACAGGAUUAGAUACCCUGGUAGUCCACGCCGUAAACGAUGAGUGCUAGGUGUCGGGGUUCGAACCUCGGUGCCGCAGCUAACGCAUUAACCACUCCGCCUGGGGGGUACGUUCGCAAAAAUUAAACUUAAAUGAAUUGACGGGGACCCGCACAAGCAGCGG